Transfer RNA from Schistosoma mansoni, 73 nucleotides. It matches the Rfam family "tRNA". Rfam says of the family: Transfer RNA (tRNA) molecules are approximately 80 nucleotides in length. Their secondary structure includes four short double-helical elements and three loops (D, anti-codon, and T loops). The record is from Rfam. Lineage: Eukaryota; Metazoa; Platyhelminthes; Trematoda; Strigeidida; Schistosomatidae.
GCCGUAAUAGCUCAGUUGGGAGAGUGUAAGACUGAAGAUCUAAAUGUCCCCCGUUCGAUUCCGGGUUACGGCA